AGAGUUUGAUCAUGGCUCAGGAUGAACGCUGGCGGCGUGCCUAACACAUGCAAGUCGAGCGAGAAGUCAUGGAUGGAAUCUUCGGAGGAAAGAAAUGAUGGAAAGCGGCGGACGGGUGAGUAACGCGUAGGUAACCUGCCCCAUACAGAGGGAUAGCCACUGGAAACGGUGAUUAAUACCUCAUGACACUUUCUCUUCGCAUGGAGGGAAGGUCAAAGAUUUAUCGGUAUGGGAUGGACCUGCGUCUGAUUAGCUUGUUGGUGGGGUAACGGCCUACCAAGGCGACGAUCAGUAGCCGACCUGAGAGGGUGAUCGGCCACAUUGGAACUGAGACACGGUCCAAACUCCUACGGGAGGCAGCAGUGGGGAAUAUUGCACAAUGGGGGAAACCCUGAUGCAGCAACGCCGCGUGAAGGAAGAAGGCCUUUGGGUCGUAAACUUCUGUUCUGAGGGAAGAAGAAAGUGACGGUACCUCAGGAGAAAGCCCCGGCUAACUACGUGCCAGCAGCCGCGGUAAUACGUAGGGGGCAAGCGUUGUCCGGAAUUAUUGGGCGUAAAGAGUACGUAGGCGGUUUGCUAAGCGCAAGGUGAAAGGCAGUGGCUUAACCAUUGUAAGCCUUGCGAACUGACAGACUUGAGUGCAGGAGAGGAAAGCGGAAUUCCUAGUGUAGCGGUGAAAUGCGUAGAUAUUAGGAGGAACACCGGUGGCGAAGGCGGCUUUCUGGACUGUAACUGACGCUGAGGUACGAAAGCGUGGGGAGCAAACAGGAUUAGAUACCCUGGUAGUCCACGCCGUAAACGAUGAGCACUAGGUGUCGGGAUCGUAGGAUUUCGGUGCCGCAGUUAACGCAUUAAGUGCUCCG
This 863-nucleotide ribosomal RNA is filed under the name uncultured bacterium. Its description in RNAcentral is "bacterial SSU rRNA". It matches the Rfam family "Bacterial small subunit ribosomal RNA", at positions 8 to 871 of the family's 1533-position model. The record is from RNAcentral.